This 2903-nucleotide long non-coding RNA is filed under the name Equus caballus (horse). RNAcentral describes it as "lncRNA (ENSECAG00000047123.1)". Lineage: Eukaryota; Metazoa; Chordata; Mammalia; Perissodactyla; Equidae. The record is from RNAcentral.
CUAACGGAGCUUAACCUUCAGUCCUCUCAUUUGACAUGGGCUUCUGCAAGUACUGGGAAUUGUUGGAGGAUGUUCAGUAUUCUAGGUGGUGAGAGGGAAACCAAGUUAGCAUUAGGAAAUAGGUAAGCAUGAAUGGAAGAUUACCUGAAGGAGUAUCAGAAGAGACUUGAAUCACUGACUUCAUGGAUCCCCCAAAUUACAUAAGCACCACAAAACCAGCAUCUGCCAAAGUAGAUCACUCAGCUUUUCAGGAAGCAAACAGUAGAGGAGUUUGUUUGCAAUCAAGUAUUUUCUUCAAAGUAGGAUAUCCAGACCCUGCAUGACCACUCUUGAAUCAGAAAUCAUUUAUCCUAGCAACAUUUCCAUGUCUAAGCCACUUCCAGAGUUAUUGCCACAGCCAACAGGUCAUUGUUUCCAUCCCUCUGGCAUCCUGAACUCCAGAGGAGGAGUGGGGAAGGAGUCAGUUGCUCAAGAAUCUCUCAGGUAAGCCUUUUCUGGAUGUCCUCUGAGCAUGUGAAAAACGGAGGAGCAAAGAAAAUAAAAGAUCAAAUUCUCCUGGCCCAUCCAAGACAAAAAAGAAAAUUGCUUUGAUGGAGUCCAAUUGCUAAGUGGCAGAUUACAGCUUUUCUAUAUUGUUAUGAAAAAUGGGGUUUCCAGAAAUUUCUAUGUUUGUCUUCAAAGAGAGCUGCAGCUUCGUGAUGAAAAGCCCCCUCUAACAUUGGACACGUGUUCUGCUGGAGGCCGCUCUAAAUCAUGGAAGCAAAUCCAUCCAAUGGGAGAAAUCUGCCUUAACAUCCCAGAAACAUUUCCACCUGUAAAUUCUGAGAUCUUAAAAUUAGAAUCUGCCUCCAAUUAUGACUUGACAGUACAUACAAGUUCCAGGAGAGCCCCAGCAAAGCAUGCAAUAACUGCAAUGGUGUAAACUGGAAUUUAUGCUAAACACAGGCACAGGAAAUUAUAACUUGGAUAAAUUGGAAACCUGCAAUAUGGAAACUUAUUUGUGAUAUAACGUGAGAUUUAUGUAAAUCUGGGCUCAUAAUUGAUUGUGAAAACUUCCAUGAAACAAUAUGUAAGACCAUAGGCUGAGACUUCCCCUGGUCGUUGAACUGUUCCUUGUGUAAAAUGAUUUCAAGGAAUAUUGUCGUUAAUUGAUCUCUUCUGGAAGCCUCUGAUUUGCAUCUGAUUCAAUCUUCAUGUUGGUUCCCCACACUCCAGCUCUAUCAGAGUUCUCAGAAAGUGUGAGAGCAAGCCCCUCGAGGUCAAAUUCAGGAGACACUAGGGAAGAGAGGGUUGCUGAAGAAUUCUGUGGUGCUGGAGAACGGCACAGGCUUGGGGAAGCCAGCUGCCAUCCCAUGAGGCAGCGCGGAGGAGAAUGCCGCCAACAGCCAUGUGAGUGAUGUUGGAAGCAGAUUCUCCCAGUUGAGACGUGAGAUGAGAGCAACCCUGGCCGACACCUUGACUGAAGCCUCAUGAAAGACCUUGAAUGAGAACCACCUGGCUAAGCUGCUUCUGAAAUCCUGACCCACAGAAACUACACAAUAAGAAAUGUUAUUGCUUUCAGUUUUUAGGUUUUGGAAUAACUUUGGUAUACAGCAAUAGAUAACUGAAACAUAUCACAACAUAUUACACAUCAGAGACGGGGCUAAGCAAAUGAGAUCAUUUGCUUUUCACAACAACCCCACAAAAUAAGUACUGUUAUUAUCACCCUUUUAUAUAUUAGGAAGCUGAAGUACAAGGAAAUAAAAUAGUCAAGUGUGGCCUAUCUGGCUUAUGAAUGGAGUACCUGGGGAUUUAUCAAAGAAUCUCUAAAUACGGGGUCUAGCACGUAGUAUAUGGUGCUGAAUCUGUGUUGAUUGAUUCAACAUGAUCAUGUCCAAAAAACUGCAAUAAGAGAACAAAAACACAAGUUCUAUUAUUUACGUUCAACCAGAGCAGACAUGAGUUCCCCAUGAAGACUUAAUAUACCUCUUUUAAUGCAGAGUUCACGUGAGGCUUCUGGUUUUCUUCUCUCUAUGAUUAAUGCCUCUAGGAUCACGAUUCCCCACACUCAAGAGGUAAGACAAACCUGGCAGAGAUCCAAUAGUCUCUGUCAUUUACUAUGCCUGUCUGUAGACAUGGGGUCAUGGUCUAAGAGUCGUGAGCUGAAGGCAGCCUUACUUCCUUGACUCCUUAACCUGUUAGUCCCUGCUUGUUCUUCCAAAUUCUGCAUCCUUUAUCUUUCCAUUGUUUGGGACACACAAUUCCCCUUAUAAGUCCAGUCCCUUAGUUCCCAAUCAUGACCUGAGCCAGGGUGCUUUGAGAAAGUUCUGACUCCAUGAACUUGGGCUUAUCAACAUGGUUAGUUGCCAAAGCCCAAGUAAACAUGUGCUAGAGCCUUGUAAUUGGCCUCCACCCAAAUCCCAAGGCUUUCUCUCCAUCUGGUUACUUUUAAUAACGGCUGGAAUCUAAAAAGACAAAAGAAAAAUUCUAUAUCCUCUCUAUUUACACAUUAUUUCUUAAGUUGUGGCCCCAUUUUGGCCAUGCUAGUCCACAUCUAGAAAUAAGAGACCUGUGUUCUGACCUUUUACCAUAUCUUAUGGCCAGGGCACCAGCUUAGUGAUAAAUACUUUUUCACAUUGACAGCCCACCUACUUACCUGCUAAGACUCCCAAACAUAGCCUCCUCAUUGCUGUGUUUUUCCUACAACUGUGUGAUGCUUUACUUCAUCUUAAAUCUCCAUCAUCUUCUACUUGCUUAAACAAUGUUAAUAUAAAACCCCUUGGACACUGUACUGUACCCAACACCAGAACAUUCUUUCAAUCCUGUCUGGAACAAGUAUGUAAGAUGGAUGAUUCUUGGUAUUAAUGUUAUCAUUAGUAAAAAGAAUAUGAAAAUAUUUUGUUUAUUAAAUGCCAGGAACUGUG